AUGGAUCCGGCGGAGAUUUUGAAUGUUCGAUUCCAUUUCGCUGGCGAGUUCAUCGGCAAUAGUGGUCCCAAUAUACAGUAUGUGGGGGGAGAUGAAGAGAUGUCAGAGAUUGAGAGAGAUAAGCUGUCACUCCAAGAGGUCAAAGGCUUUUUGAAAGAUCAUAUGGAGUUGAAGGAAUCUAUGAAGUUCUAUUUUCGGUUGCCGGGGAAAUCACUUGCUGAUGGCUUGAUGUUUCUGAAUGAUGACAGUAGAUGUUUGCAGAUGGCAGAGUACACUGAAGUGGGAGGAGUAGCAGACAUAUAUGUCGAGUACCAUGGAGAGGAGGACAGUGAGCAUAGCAGCAGUGGUAGUGAUUUCGAAAAAGAU
RNAcentral lists this ribosomal RNA (366 nucleotides) under Triticum aestivum (bread wheat). RNAcentral describes it as "partial small subunit ribosomal RNA". Lineage: Eukaryota; Viridiplantae; Streptophyta; Magnoliopsida; Poales; Poaceae. The record is from RNAcentral.